This is a non-coding RNA of Plectosphaerella cucumerina, 89 nucleotides long. Lineage: Eukaryota; Fungi; Ascomycota; Sordariomycetes; Glomerellales; Plectosphaerellaceae. The record is from the annotation of a GenBank genome assembly.
GGUUUGAUGGUGUAGUUGGUUAUCACGUCAGUCUAACAUCCACUGGAUGGUUUCACUGAAGGUCGGGAGAUCGAGCCUCCCUCGAAUCA